AUUGAACGCUGGCGGCAUGCCUUACACAUGCAAGUCGAACGGCAGCACGGGAGCAAUCCUGGUGGCGAGUGGCGAACGGGUGAGUAAUAUAUCGGAACGUGCCCAGUCGUGGGGGAUAACGUAGCGAAAGCUACGCUAAUACCGCAUACGAUCUAUGGAUGAAAGCGGGGGAUCGCAAGACCUCGCGCGAUUGGAGCGGCCGAUAUCAGAUUAGGUAGUUGGUGAGGUAAAGGCUCACCAAGCCGACGAUCUGUAGCUGGUCUGAGAGGACGACCAGCCACACUGGGACUGAGACACGGACCAGACUCCUACGGGAGGCAGCAGUGAGGAAUAUUGGUCAAUGGACGCAAGUCUGAACCAGCCAUGCCGCGUGCAGGAUGACGGUCCUAUGGAUUGUAAACUGCUUUUAUACAGGAAGAAAC
Molecule: ribosomal RNA, 422 nt
Filed under: uncultured bacterium
Lineage: Bacteria
Description: bacterial SSU rRNA
Rfam family: Bacterial small subunit ribosomal RNA
Source: RNAcentral